CCUACGGGAGGCAGCAGUGAGGAAUAUUGGUCAAUGGCCGGAAGGCUGAACCAGCCAAGCCGCGUGAAGGACGAAGGUGCCAAGCAUUGUAAACUUCUUUUGUCAAGGGACAAAAUCAGGCUCGAGAGCCUGACCGAGGGUACUUGAAGAAAAAGCAUCGGCUAACUCCGUGCCAGGAGCCGCGGUAAUACUGGGGAUGCGAGCGUUAGCGGGAUUUAUUGGGUUUAACGGGUGCGUAGGCGGACUGUUAAGUCAGCGGUAAACGCCCGGGGCUAAACCCCGGCGAGCCGUUGAAACUGGGUGUCUUGAGAGGUGGAGAGGUAUGCGGAAUGCGCAGUGUAGCGGUGAAAUGCUUAGAUAUUGCGAAGAACUCCGAUUGCGAAGGCAGCAUACCGGCGGCGAUCUGACGCUGAGGCACGAAAGCGUGGGUAUCGAACAGGAUUAGAUACCCCAGUAGUC
RNAcentral lists this ribosomal RNA (459 nucleotides) under uncultured bacterium. Its description in RNAcentral is "partial 16S ribosomal RNA". It matches the Rfam family "Bacterial small subunit ribosomal RNA", at positions 338 to 795 of the family's 1533-position model. The record is from RNAcentral.